Molecule: non-coding RNA, 106 nt
Organism: Rhodocollybia butyracea
Lineage: Eukaryota; Fungi; Basidiomycota; Agaricomycetes; Agaricales; Omphalotaceae
Source: the annotation of a GenBank genome assembly
UCUGAUAUGGUGUAGUAGCUAACAUUAUCGCCUCUCAUAAAUUGCGCCGACUCCUAUAAAUCCUGUGGUUGCGCGAUAGCCCGGGGUUCAAUUCCCUGUGUCAGAA